AUUGAACGCUGGCGGCAGGCCUAACACAUGCAAGUCGAGCGGAUGAAGGGAGCUUGCUCCUGGAUUCAGCGGCGGACGGGUGAGUAAUGCCUAGGAAUCUGCCUGGUAGUGGGGGAUAACGUCCGGAAACGGGCGCUAAUACCGCAUACGUCCUGAUGGUGAAAGUGGGGGAUCUUCGGACCUCACGCUAUCAGAUGAGCCUAGGUCGGAUUAGCUAGUUGGUGGGGUAAAGGCCUACCAAGGCGACGAUCCGUAACUGGUCUGAGAGGAUGAUCAGCCACACUGGAACUGAGACACGGUCCAGACUCCUACGGGAGGCAGCAGUGGGGAAUAUUGGACAAUGGGCGAAAGCCUGAUCCAGCCAUGCCGCGUGUGUGAAGAAGGUCUUCGGAUUGUAAAGCACUUUAAGUUGGGAGGAAGGGCAGUAAGUUAAUACCUUGCUGUUUUGACGGUACCAACAGAAUAAGCACCGGCUAACUUCGUG
Molecule: ribosomal RNA, 484 nt
Filed under: uncultured bacterium
Lineage: Bacteria
Description: partial 16S ribosomal RNA
Rfam family: Bacterial small subunit ribosomal RNA
Source: RNAcentral